GACCUGAGCUCAGACGUGGUUACCCGCUGAACUUAAGCAUAU
RNAcentral lists this ribosomal RNA (42 nucleotides) under Rotylenchulus reniformis. Its description in RNAcentral is "partial 28S ribosomal RNA". The record is from RNAcentral. Lineage: Eukaryota; Metazoa; Nematoda; Chromadorea; Rhabditida; Hoplolaimidae.